UUAAACAGCACAUGUCCUGUGGAAUAAAAUUCUCUUCCCUGCAAUAAUAAUAGCUGUUUUGUUUUGACUUCAGAAAUUCUGAAAUCUGUGUGUAGCCAACAGUAAUUACUGCUCAUUACAAUAAUCACCAUCGACUUGAUCAGUCCCCUGGAACACAAGUCAGGACCUAAGGAAAUGGAUUUUUACCUAGGGUGAUGAAGAAUUUUACCUGAGGCCCAGGGCAGCCUCUCUGGGAGCCAAAUUUGGUGACUGAUACUAGAAGCUGUUAAUAUGUUGAAUUCCUAAGUCAGAAUUUUUGUUUUAAGUGUUUUCUGAGUGAAACCAUAUUCAAAGGAACCUGAAAUUUUGACCUCAUGUUAAAAAUUCUUUACAGGUUCCAUGUAUGAAAUAAUAAAAAGAGCAAGUGUGAAUAAGUGAGAAGUUUGUCAAGCAAGGAAAGUAAUAGCAGCAACCAUAUUACAGAGAUGUGGAGACCAACCUCUACUUCUUGGUUUAGGGGUUCCCUUCAAAAUAACAUGUAUGGCUAGGAGAGGGGUAGGUGUUGGAGUGAAAGCAAGCAUUGGGGGUGGCGUACAGAAUGAAAUCAUAAAGUCUCAGGAUUGACAUGGAUCUGAGGCUUAAAUCCCCUUUCCAGUAUUAGAGUGAACCUUUACUAUGUGCCAAACAUUAGGUAUAUUUAGAGUUCAGAAGCAAAGGAGUUGGCUCUGUCUUUAAGGAGUUCAUAGUUUUGACCAGACUAUCGGUUCAGAUGCAUUCUUUCAGGAAGGCAUUCAGCUACAUUCAAAUAAAAAACAAAAACGCAUUUACAGAGGCUUAACUAAAUAGAGUAAUUUUCCUCCCAAAUGUUAGGUCCAGAGGUGGGCAACUCAGAGCCAUUCAGGCUCUGGCUCCAAAUAUCUUUGUGCUCCACCAUCAUUAAUAUAUGACUUCCUUCCACAAGCUAGUCACUCAUGGGUGCCAGGUAGCAGCUCUACUCCAGCUGCAUGCCUCCUGCCAGGAAAGAAAGGAGAGAAAGAACAAAGAGGAGGGUAAGAAAGCUGCCUGAAUCAGGAAAAUAAAAUCUUUCCCAGAAAUCUCUAGCAGACAUUGAUUUCUGUCUCCUGGCCAGAAUUGUGUAGUAAGGCCACUCUAUCUGCAAAGAAUUUUGGGAAGGUAAGUACUUAAGCUAGGCAUAUUGCCACUCCAAGCAAAAAUAGAGACUCUUGUAAGAAAAAAAAAAUGGGAGAAUGGGGAUUGGUUAACAAGCAGCAUCUGCCAUAGACCAACAAGAACACUGACAAUGAAACCAUGGUAUAAUUUGUACAUAAUACAAAUUUCAUGCAGAAAAGCACAGAACUCUCUAUCUUCAGGUUAGGGGGAGGUGUCAUGGAGGGUUUCACUGAGGAGGGUAACAUUUGGCUGAGUCUCAAAGAAUGAAUUAAAUUGUCAAAGUACAAAAGAAAAAUAGUUGUUCAUCAAAAUAUUUUUAUUUGCCACUGGCAGAAAUGUAGCUUGAACCCAAAAGUACCAAGGUAAGGUUUCAAGCAUUGCUGGCUCCAGUCACCCAAUUGAUGUCACCAAGACCCAAUCUCUCUCUCUCUUUCUCUCCAUCCUUUGAUUCUAUAAUAGCCAGCAAGCAGCUCCAGAUUUACAUUACACCCUAUCAGCAGCUUUAGCAGUUCCAAUAAAGCUCUGAGUAUGCAUCUCACUGGAACAACUUGGGAUAUGUGUCCAUCACUCUGACCUAUCUCCUUGGACAGGAAAAUGAGAUAUGUUGAUUGGACAAGGCUGGGCUCCAUGUCCACCUCUGGAAUAUUAUUCAAAACACUUGAACUAAAAGCAAGAAAGAAGGUUCUCCAAAGGAAAACUGUGAGUAAGUAAAGUAGGCAAAAAGUACAAAUGUCUCUUACAGAGAACAAUUAUUUUAGUGAUGUUUAGAAGGUGUAAUGCACAAGAUACAGUUGAACAAUUGGCUGAUUUUGGUGAGGGGAGGGAAGAUUCUGAAAUGACACUGGAAUUCAGGCUUAGGUACUUAAGUAUGAUGUUGUCAUGAAACAAGCUGAUGACUACACAAACAGAACCAGUCAAGGAUGGGCAGGUGAAGAGGUUGGAGGCAAUAAUAAUAACGAUAAAUAAUACUAACUAUACUCCCUGGCAAACCAAGGGAAAGGAACAGCAGGAAGCAGUUUCCAGUGCUUAAAACAAACCACUGGACUAGAAAUAUUGAUUUUUAAAAAUCUUCAGGCCUGGCCAGGUGCGGUGGCUCACACCUGUAAUCCCAGCACUUUUGGAGGCCAAGGCAGGAG
This 2285-nucleotide long non-coding RNA is filed under the name Homo sapiens (human). RNAcentral's name for it is "HSALNT0063943". Lineage: Eukaryota; Metazoa; Chordata; Mammalia; Primates; Hominidae. The record is from RNAcentral.